This 254-nucleotide ribosomal RNA is filed under the name uncultured bacterium. RNAcentral describes it as "partial 16S ribosomal RNA". It matches the Rfam family "Bacterial small subunit ribosomal RNA", at positions 524 to 776 of the family's 1533-position model. The record is from RNAcentral.
CACGUAGGGGGCGAGCGUUGUCCGGAUUUAUUGGGCGUAAAGAGCUCGUAGGCGGCUCGGUAAGUCAGGUGUGAAAACUCUAGGCUCAACCUAGAGACGCCACCUGAUACUGCCGUGGCUAGAGUCCGGUAGGGGAGCAUGGAAUUCCUGGUGUAGCGGUGAAAUGCGCAGAUAUCAGGAGGAACACCGGUGGCGAAGGCGGGUCUCUGGGCCGAUACUGACGCUGAGGAGCGAAAGCGUGGGGAGCGAACAGG